GUCGGUGCCCAUAGAGAGAUAGUUACACCUGUUCCCAUACCGAACACAGAAGUUAAGCAUCUCAUCGGUUAAAAUACUUGGGGUUCACCCCUGGGAAAAUAGCACGGUGCCGUUU
This 115-nucleotide ribosomal RNA is filed under the name Candidatus Saccharibacteria bacterium RIFCSPHIGHO2_12_FULL_41_12. Lineage: Bacteria; Candidatus Saccharimonadota. The record is from RNAcentral.